AUUUCUAUAUGAAUUUGUACAGGGAUUUUUAGGCUAUCGGAUGGAUUCAUUUGACAGUGAUUCUCUUUUCUUCUGGAAUUCCAUCUGUUAGAUAUAUAUUAAUGCAGCUUUAUGUUGGGUGAUCUUCGUUUUAUUGACAUGUACGCUUAGAUCUCUUUUACCAACCAUGUUUGUGAACAUGGUGAAAGCUUAUCGUAAAAAUAAAUAAAACUGAUUAGG
Molecule: long non-coding RNA, 219 nt
Filed under: Mytilus galloprovincialis (Mediterranean mussel)
Lineage: Eukaryota; Metazoa; Mollusca; Bivalvia; Mytilida; Mytilidae
Source: RNAcentral